This 697-nucleotide ribosomal RNA is filed under the name uncultured Candidatus Saccharibacteria bacterium. RNAcentral describes it as "bacterial SSU rRNA". It matches the Rfam family "Bacterial small subunit ribosomal RNA", at positions 777 to 1500 of the family's 1533-position model. Lineage: Bacteria; Candidatus Saccharimonadota. The record is from RNAcentral.
AUUAGAUACCCGGGUAGUCCACGCCGUAAACUAUGGAUGCUAGCUGUUAUUCGUAUCGACCCGAGUAGUAGCGAAGCUAACGCGUUAAGCAUCCCGCCUGUGGAGUACGGUCGCAAGACUAAAACAUAAAGGAAUUGACGGGGACCCGCACAAGCGGUGGAGCGUGUUGUUUAAUUCGAUGGUAAGCGAAGAACCUUACCCAGACUUGACAUCCUUGGAAGCACUGCGAAAGCAGAGUGUGCCUCCGGGAACCAAGUGACAGGUGUUGCAUGGCCGUCGUCAGCUCGUGUCGUGAGAUGUUUGGUUAAGUCCAUCAACGAGCGCAACCCUUGUGGCUAGUUGAAUUUUUCUAGUCAGACUGCCCUGGUAACAGGGAGGAAGGAGGGGAUGAUGUCAGGUCAGUAUUACCCUUACGUCUGGGGCUACAAACACGCUACAAUGGCCGGUACAAAGGGCUGCCAAGUCGCGAGACGGAGCAAAUCCCAUCAAAACCGGUCCCAGUUCGGAUUGCAGGCUGAAACUCGCCUGCAUGAAGUCGGAAUCGCUAGUAACGGUAGGUCAGCACACUACCGUGAAUACGUUCCCGGGUCUUGUACACACCGCCCGUCAAACCAUGAAAGUCGCCAAUACCUGACGUCUUAGCUAGUCUAGGCCUAAGGUAGGGGAGAUGAUUGGGGUUAAGUCGUAACAAGGUAAC